GUGGGGAAUAUUGGGCAAUGGGCGCAAGCCUGACCCAGCAACGCCGCGUGAGGGAAGAAGGUUUUCGGAUUGUAAACCUCUGUCGCAGAUGACGAAGGAAGUGACGGUAAUCUGUGAGGAAGCCCCGGCUAACUACGUGCCAGCAGCCGCGGUAAUACGUAGGGGGCGAGCGUGGUCCGGAAUUACUGGGCGUAAAGGGAGCGUAGGCGGUCGAUUAAGUUGGAUGUGAAAUACCCGGGCGUAAGUUGGAGUGUGCAUCCAAUACUGGUUGACUAGAGUACAGGAGAGGAAAGCGGAAUUCCUAGUGUAGCGGUGAAAUGCAUAGAUAUUAGGAGGAACAUCGGUGGCGAAGGCGGCUUUCUGGACUGACACUGACGCUGAGGCUCGAAAGCGUGGGGAGCAAACAGGAUUAGAUACCCUAGUAGUCC
RNAcentral lists this ribosomal RNA (428 nucleotides) under uncultured bacterium. Its description in RNAcentral is "partial 16S ribosomal RNA". It matches the Rfam family "Bacterial small subunit ribosomal RNA", at positions 354 to 796 of the family's 1533-position model. The record is from RNAcentral.